GGCGGCGUGCUUACACAUGCAGUCGAACGAUGAUCUCCCGCUUGCGGGGGUGAUUAGUGGCGAACGGGUGAGUAAUACGUGAGUAACCUGCCCUUGACUCUGGGAUAAGCCUGGGAAACCGGGUCUAAUACUGGAUACGACCUCCUGUCGCAUGGUGGGGGGUGGAAAGGGUUUGACUGGUUUUGGAUGGGCUCACGGCCUAUCAGCUUGUUGGUGGGGUAAUGGCUCACCAAGGCGACGACGGGUAGCCGGCCUGAGAGGGUGACCGGCCACACUGGGACUGAGACACGGCCCAACUCCUACGGGAGGCACAUUG
This 316-nucleotide ribosomal RNA is filed under the name Kocuria sp. M6. RNAcentral describes it as "bacterial SSU rRNA". It matches the Rfam family "Bacterial small subunit ribosomal RNA", at positions 38 to 356 of the family's 1533-position model. Lineage: Bacteria; Bacillati; Actinomycetota; Actinomycetes; Micrococcales; Micrococcaceae. The record is from RNAcentral.